AUAAUAAUAAAAAAAUCAAAAUAAAAUAUAGUUAUUUUAUCACACUUUCCGAUGUUUAACAAAAUACUUACAAAAUUACACGCAUGCGCAGUAUCAUCAGUUCAUCGGUUCUCAAUUCGGACGCGUCCGACAUAAACGAUUCUCGGUUGAGUGUACUGGUGAUCCGAAAACCGAAGCAACCGGUUCUUGAGCAGUGGGCGUGUUCGUUCAUUAUCUGGCUCGGCUCAGUGUUCAUCUUCAGUUCGGUCUUCACAGCAUUUCAUUCAGUGUACUGUUUGAGUAAAUGGAUUACGAUAUUGGUUUAUUCUGACUCAGAGGGAGUGUCAAUCACGUUAAAAAAGUUAACAGCUUAAGUAAUUUGUGUAUUUAUGCUUAUUGGAGACGUGAACCGUUUCAAACGACUCAGUUCGAUUUGGUGAACUGGUUCAACCGGUUCACUAAGAAGAACCGGUUAAAUUGAACGAUUUGUUCACGAAUCGGCCAUCACUAAUUGGAAUACGUUGCUAGGAACAUGAUACAGCGCUCGCUGUUCCUGACAGACUUCAGCUGCCGUCUUCGUAUUUCUUCUUCUGUGGUUUUCCUAGUUCGUGAUCGGUCAACUUCAGAUAAAUCAACAAAUCGGCUCGUUCAACCGCACAAAUGGCACGAAUUCAAACCGAUAGCUCACAAACUUUUUAGACAUGUUUAAAAAUGAUCGGGAGGUCGGGAAGUGCUCGUAAGCCACUCUGCUCGGCUGGUAAUUCAUCGCAAAUGAUACGAGCCGCGACCAUACAAGAAUACGCGAUUUCCACACGAUUGAAAAAAAUUGCAUGCCAACUUGUACGACAGCAAAAAUCGCACCGUGUACGCCCGCCUUUAUCUCUUCAGCUAUUAUGGCCCAAGCACCUCAACACCCAGUAAGAGAAACUUGAAGAAGCACCACCUGACUGCACCUUCACUUUCCAGUAUUGUAUGUGCAUCAUCUGAAACACUUUCAAAUCGAGAGGACCUGUCGCCUAUUGAGGAAAGACUGGAAGAUGAUGAGCGCACCAUGGAUGCCUCUGAGGUUCUGGAGGAAAGUCUACAGAACAUGAGCAUCCAGGAUGCUGAAAACCAGGUCAUGAAUGAGCAGGAGAUAAAUGAUCUAAUGAACAUUGUGUAAGUUCCACUGGGUUUUACUGAACAUUGAGUAACAAGAUGUUCUGCUUUGUAUUAACAAAUAUAAUUUUCUAUCACAUUUGCCAGAAUUGAUUGGGGGGACAGUGAAGGUGUUAGUAAUGAGGAGAUUGAAGCAGAUGACAGUGAAGAUGAGGACUAUGUCCCUCGUAUUUGUAUUCGGUAUGUUA
Molecule: long non-coding RNA, 1325 nt
Organism: Carassius gibelio (silver crucian carp)
Lineage: Eukaryota; Metazoa; Chordata; Actinopteri; Cypriniformes; Cyprinidae
Exons: 3
Source: RefSeq, a predicted model, not a curated record